AAAUAUAUACUCACAUUAACAAACGCCCGGGUAUUACGAGCCUCAGCUUAAAACCCAAAGGACUUGACGGUGUCCCAUCCAACUAGAGGAGCCUGUUCUAUAAUCGAUAACCCCCGAUACACCUAACCCCUCCUUGCCAAUCAGCCUGUAUACCUCCGUCGCAAACUUACCAUAUGAAUGCCAAUAGUAGGUUAAAUGGUUAUAUCACCAACACGUCAGGUCAAGGUGCAGCUCAUGAUAGGGAAAGCAAUGGGCUACAAUUUCUAAAAUAGAACACACGGAAUGCUGCAUGAAACACAGCCGCGAAGGCGGAUUUAGUAGUAAAAAGAAAAUAAAGUGUCCUUUUUAAUAAGGCCCUGGGACGUGU
This 367-nucleotide ribosomal RNA is filed under the name Limnonectes kuhlii (Kuhl's wart frog). RNAcentral describes it as "partial 12S ribosomal RNA". It matches the Rfam family "Bacterial small subunit ribosomal RNA", at positions 875 to 1384 of the family's 1533-position model. Lineage: Eukaryota; Metazoa; Chordata; Amphibia; Anura; Dicroglossidae. The record is from RNAcentral.